RNAcentral lists this ribosomal RNA (481 nucleotides) under uncultured Saprospiraceae bacterium. Its description in RNAcentral is "bacterial SSU rRNA". It matches the Rfam family "Bacterial small subunit ribosomal RNA", at positions 28 to 505 of the family's 1533-position model. Lineage: Bacteria; Pseudomonadati; Bacteroidota; Saprospiria; Saprospirales; Saprospiraceae. The record is from RNAcentral.
GAUGAACGCUAGCGGGAGGCUUAAUACAUGCAAGUCGGACGGUAACAUGAGACUUCGGUUUUGAUGACGAGUGGCGGACGGGUGAGUAACGCGUACACAACCUACCUUUAAGAGGUGAAUACCCUUUGGAAACGAAGAAUAAUACACCAUAGUAUUAACUGAUCUAUAAUUGGUUAAUUAAAGUUUCGGCGCUUAAAGAUGGGUGUGCGUACUAUUAGCUAGUUGGUAAGGUAACGGCUUACCAAGGCGACGAUAGUUAGGGGGCGUGAGAGCGUGAACCCCCACACGGGUACUGAGACACGGACCCGACUCCUACGGGAGGCAGCAGUAAGGAAUAUUGGACAAUGGAGGCAACUCUGAUCCAGCCAUCCCGCGUGAAGGAUGACUGCCCUAUGGGUUGUAAACUUCUUUUAGAUAGGAAGAAAUGCAUUGAUUUAUCAGUGUUUGACGGUACUAUCAGAAUAAGCACCGGCUAACUCCG